This 346-nucleotide ribosomal RNA is filed under the name Clostridioides difficile. Its description in RNAcentral is "bacterial SSU rRNA". It matches the Rfam family "Bacterial small subunit ribosomal RNA", at positions 1 to 354 of the family's 1533-position model. Lineage: Bacteria; Bacillati; Bacillota; Clostridia; Peptostreptococcales; Peptostreptococcaceae. The record is from RNAcentral.
UUUUAUUUGAGAGUUUGAUCCUGGCUCAGGAUGAACGCUGGCGGCGUGCCUAACACAUGCAAGUUGAGCGAUUUACUUCGGUAAAGAGCGGCGGACGGGUGAGUAACGCGUGGGUAACCUACCCUGUACACACGGAUAACAUACCGAAAGGUAUGCUAAUACGGGAUAAUAUAUUUGAGAGGCAUCUCUUGAAUAUCAAAGGUGAGCCAGUACAGGAUGGACCCGCGUCUGAUUAGUUAGUUGGUAAGGUAACGGCUUACCAAGGCGACGAUCAGUAGCCGACCUGAGAGGGUGAUCGGCCACAUUGGAACUGAGACACGGUCCAAACUCCUACGGGAGGCAGCAG